UUACAGCAGGAAACCACCAGACCAAUGAGGAAAACCUUACACGCAGAAGACAAGAAGACAAGAAAGGUAUGGAAAUAGAGACCACACACGUUGGCGCUUGGCCCAGCCACAAAAUCAAAACUGUGUUUGCAUUUUGACCUCAACGGCGAGCCGGAAGGAGAAAUACAUAGGUGAUAGCCAAUCACAACACUGGAAAAAUGCAGUUCCAAGCGUCCCUAUCCAGACUAAAGGGUCUAAGAGCGGCUGUUAACACCACAGCAGAGACCUGCCCCGGUCUCACCGUGUCACGGUAACCGAAAGGGACACAGACUCUCCCGAAAAAGAGGAAAACUGGGUCGCUGUCACUGCGGAUAAUGUCGACUCCAAAGAAACACUGCCGGUGAAGUCACGGCUGACAACAGUCUAAGCAAUGAACAUAAUGUACAUGUCAUAUUGUAUCUUAGACUCCAAAAGAAAAAGAAAACACAGCUCCUACGUAGCAUGGGAGGCUUUGGACUAAGUUGAUGGCCUUUCAGCACACCCACUUCAUGUGUACAGUAGGUUUAUAUCUACCCUUUGAAUGUUUAAAAGCAGAAGGGCGAGGAUCUGGUAGACAUGCAAGCAACUGCUUCUAGUUCACUACAAACCAUUUUAAAUGGGAGAAAUUACUGAACUGUGAUGAAA
Esox lucius (northern pike) is the source of this 663-nucleotide long non-coding RNA. RefSeq lists it as uncharacterized. The record is from RefSeq and is a predicted model, not a curated record. The transcript has 3 exons. NCBI's taxonomy places the organism in Eukaryota, Metazoa, Chordata, Actinopteri, Esociformes, Esocidae.